GUACUCACUUCAGCAGCACAUAUACUAAAAUCUGAAGGAUACAGAGAAGAUUAGCAUGGCCCCUGCACAAGGAUUACAUGCAAAUUCCAGAAGCGUUCCAUAUUUAA
Small nuclear RNA from Sciurus carolinensis (gray squirrel), 107 nucleotides. The record is from RefSeq and is a predicted model, not a curated record. NCBI's taxonomy places the organism in Eukaryota, Metazoa, Chordata, Mammalia, Rodentia, Sciuridae.